UAGGCAAAGUAGACAGGGAGGGUGUUUUCUCCCAAUCAAGCUAUAAUCAAACUGACUUAGAAGAAGCUAUUAAUGCACAGAUCCAUCAUUGCUUGGCUAUGGACAAACGGGCAGGUGGUGCUGCACAACAGGCUGGGAUGAGCUCUUUUUUUCCUUCCUGGACGGAAAAGCUGCCACGUCUUUGAGCUGCUGAGAUGUUGCCAUGAUGUGGUGGUGCCUGAGGAGUGGUCCUUUCUUUGGCAUCUGCAGGCCCUGAGGCAUGGUCUGGAACUGGAAGAGGAACAAAGGGUUGCUGAAGUCUGCUUUGCAGGAGAUGGACCUAAACAGCUCUGAGCAGCCAACGGAGGGAAGAAGAGAUUCCUAGAAGGCAAGAAACAAAAUGGCCAGGUAACCCAUCUGAAUAGUAUCCGGGCAUUAGCACAGGCUACCAGCCAAUCAGAAGCAAGGAAGUGAAGAGGAAAGGAGGACUGAGGGAUUGUUUUGGCUGCUGGUCACUCAGAGACUAAGAGAGAGAGCCUUCAGACUCCCUCAUUCCCUUGUGGGAUUUAUGAGGAAACUAAGACCCAUAAAUAUCAAAAAUGUGACCCAAGGCCUUGGAUAUAGUGAUUGUCAGAGUUGCCCUCAACCUGGGACCUCUGGGAUCAAGAGAAGUGAGCCUUGGACUAACUACAUGUUCACUCUCGCAUCGGAAAUUGGGUGUAAUUUGGCUUAAAUAUGGGGCUUGGGGAUUGUUAUCAAUUUGUUAUGGCACAAAUUGUCCUUUUUCAAUUUGCCUUUUCUCUUCCCUUCUUCCCUCCAAAAUAUCCCCCUAUUCUUUCUCCCUCUGCACUUCCAAUUCAGAGGAACUCAGGUUUUUACUUCCUUAGGAGGACGUGCUAGCAUCACCGGUGUUGUGGGCCUUGAGCCGAGGGCCUCAGGACUGUGAUGAGGCUCAGGGCCACAGUAAGAGCAGGGUUUCCUGAACACAACACUGCACUUAACCACACCUGGGUGAAAAUUUCAUUUUCUUCACACAAAGACUGGGCUCUAAAGUGUCCAGUGUUCUAUGAGUCUCGAUAAGGUGAAAUAAUUCUGUUAUUGUUGACUCAUAGAUUUUCUGCUUGCAUGUAUACCUAAAGACUUUUUGCAAUUCUUGCCAGGGUAUAUAUUUUUUAAGAUACAAAACUGUCUUACACCCCACAGCAAGCUUUAAUCCUGUGAGGACAAUCUGUUUCUCCUGGCAACACUAAGGCUACUAGAUGAACAGGGGUCAGCCGGGUAGUUUGAAGAGAAGCCUUGGUAAUCUGUUAGACAAAGCUGAGAAUUCUCUAAAGAAUGUCUAGCAAAGAUACUUCAGUUUGAAGUGAAUAGAAAGGGUUUUGUUCACAGGCCCUGCCUUGCUGCUGGAUUCAAAGAAUGUGCAGCACCAGAAAAGGACAUCAAUGUCCUUCUUGAAAAUGAAACACACACGCGCACACACACACACACACACACACGUGUCUUCUUUUCUGCCUGCAUUGAGCAUUGCAUAACUGUGGAAAAGUUCAUCACGCCUGAAAAUAUGUAUCUUUCCUUUGAUCCAAAGCAAGUGCUAUAUUGGAAUAAAGAUGCCAUAUCUUCCGCCUUUAGUAAAAUGAAUUGUCAAGGAUUUUGCUUCAGAAAGAUCAAGAAAAGACCAAACGAUUCUGCAGGGUGAGGCCUCAGAGUUCAGGCUGUUGAUUAGGAGUUAGGGGCCCUGUAAGUCUUAUUGGUUCUCAGCUUUCUCACUAGCUCAUGUUUGUGACCUUAGGCAAGGCACUUAAGCUCUUUGUACCUUCAUUCCUCCAUUUGAAAAUUAGAGAUAAUACUUGCCGCCUACUUAAACUCAAAGGGAUAUGUGAGGAUUAGCCAAUUAAAGUUUGCCAAAUGCUUGGGAAUCAAUGGAGGGAAAAAUCUGUAUGAAUAUAAGGUAUCAUUGUCAGUCCCGCCUGACUCCCUCUUCACUCUCUUACCCCUCCUGUUUCCACCCUCUCUUUUAAAGGAUUGCCUUCCUGGGAAACUCAUGAGCAUUAUGCAUGGUUUUACUUAUGGUUGCUAUUGUGGAAAGUGGCCAUCUCCUAUUAUUAAGUGAUUUGUUUGAAGUUGGUCCUUUCUAUACCAUCACGGGGGAGGUUUCCAAAUCAAAGCAUCCUAGACUGAUUGUCAGUGAGGCACAGCUGGCAAGGUUUCUUUUGGGUUUACCUUUAGCAUCCUGUAGAGAGGAGAAAACAACCAUUUUAAUGUAAAAUAGUAAGCAUAAUUUGGAAAUAUUUGCCCAUUAGGAAUACAAAGCUAGUGAGGUACAAAAAUAAAGUCAAUUUAGAGCCCUUGUUACAAUCCUUGAAGAAAUUCCCCUUUUAACCAAAACAAUAAUAGUGCUUCCUAUUUCAUAAACGUUGCUCCUCUGGCUGUUACAGCCACGUGAAAAAUGAGUGUAACAUAACUAUGGCAUAUUAUCUGUUUGUUUCACAAUUGGAAAAUUGAGAUGCAGAGAGAUUAAGUGACUUGCUCACCACAACUUAGCUAACGAACGGAACGGCAA
RNAcentral lists this long non-coding RNA (2539 nucleotides) under Homo sapiens (human). RNAcentral's name for it is "HSALNT0058386". Lineage: Eukaryota; Metazoa; Chordata; Mammalia; Primates; Hominidae. The record is from RNAcentral.